CCUACGGGUGGCUGCAGUCGAGGAUCUUCGGCAAUGGGGGCAACCCUGACCGAGCGAUGCCGCGUGCGCGAUGAAGGCCUUCGGGUUGUAAAGCGCUUUAGUGGGGGAGAUCUAUCCCAAAAAUAAGCUCGGGCUAAGUUCGUGCCAGCAGCCGCGGUAAGACGAACCGAGCGAACGUUGUUCGGAAUCACUGGGCUUAAAGGGCGCGUAGGCGGGCUAUCAAGUCUGGGGUGAAAUGCCACGGCUCAACCGUGGAACUGCCUCAGAUACUGACGGCCUCGAGGGAGGUAGGGGCAUGUGGAACUGUAGGUGGAGCGGUGAAAUGCGUUGAUAUCUACAGGAACUCCGGUGGCGAAAGCGACGUGCUGGACCUUCUGACGCUGAGGCGCGAAAGCUAGGGGAGCAAACGGGAUUAGAUACCCUAGUAGUC
Molecule: ribosomal RNA, 430 nt
Filed under: uncultured bacterium
Lineage: Bacteria
Description: partial 16S ribosomal RNA
Rfam family: Bacterial small subunit ribosomal RNA
Source: RNAcentral